Molecule: ribosomal RNA, 406 nt
Filed under: uncultured bacterium
Lineage: Bacteria
Description: partial 16S ribosomal RNA
Rfam family: Bacterial small subunit ribosomal RNA
Source: RNAcentral
ACGAACGCUGGCGGCUGCUUAACACAUGCAAGUCGAACGGAGUGGCGAACGGUUGAGUAACGCGUGAGCAACCUGCCUAUGACAGUGGGAUAGCCUCGGGAAACCGGGAUUAAUACCGCAUAGUCAUGGAUGGGCUCGCGUCUGAUUAGAUGGUUGGUGAGAUAACAGCCCACCAAGGCGACGAUCAGUAGCCGGGCAGGGAGGAUGAGCGGCCACAUUGAAGCUGGGACACGGUGCAAACUCUUACGGGAGGCAGCAAUGGGGAAUAUUGCACAAUGGGGGAAACCCUGAUGCAGCGAGGCCGCGUGAACGAAGAAGGUAUUCGUAUCGUAAAGUUCUGUCCUAUGGGAAGCAGUACCAUAGAAGAAAGCUCCGGCUAAAUACGUGCCAGCAGCCGCGGUAAUAC